UUUUACUCAGUCUUUCGUUGAAGAUUGUUUUUCUCUGGUUGAAAGAAGUGUUUUUCAAGAGCGCUGACCAAUUCAUCCAGUUCUUUCUUCAGCUGCUCAACAUCACUGUUUCCAGGAGGUGCACAAAGUUCCGAAUAGUAUUUGAUUUUUGGUUCUGUUCCACUGGUUCGCAUUGUGGCCACUCCUCCAUUAGCAAAAGUGAAUGUAAUCAUUUGGCUACUUUUACUUGUAGGAAGAAUUGCUUUUAGAUCUGGCUGGCUGCUGUCAUACCCAGUAGUUAAAUCCCUUAUUCCAGAAACUUUAAAUCUACCACAAGAUUUUGGAUAUGUGUCUUUU
Molecule: long non-coding RNA, 336 nt
Filed under: Gallus gallus (chicken)
Lineage: Eukaryota; Metazoa; Chordata; Aves; Galliformes; Phasianidae
Source: RNAcentral